CCAGACUCCUACGGGAGGCAGCAGUGGGAAUAUUGCACAAUGGGCGAAAGCCUGAUGCAGCAACGCCGCGUGAAGGAAGACGGUUUUCGGAUUGUAAACUUCUGUUCUUAGUGAAGAAUAAUGACGGUAACUAAGGAGCAAGCCACGGCUAACUACGUGCCAGCAGCCGCGGUAAUACGUAGGGGGCAAGCGUUAUCCGGAUUUACUGGGUGUAAAGGGAGCGUAGACGGCAAGGCAAGCCAGAAGUGAAAGGGCAGGGCUCAACCCUGUACAUGCUUUUGGAACUGUGGUGCUAGAGUGCAGGAGAGGUAAGUGGAAUUCCUAGUGUAGCGGUGAAAUGCGUAGAUAUUAGGAGGAACACCAGUGGCGAAGGCGGCUUACUGGACUGUAACUGACGUUGAGGCUCGAAAGCGUGGGGAGCAAACAGGAUUAGAUACCCGCGUA
Molecule: ribosomal RNA, 444 nt
Filed under: uncultured bacterium
Lineage: Bacteria
Description: bacterial SSU rRNA
Rfam family: Bacterial small subunit ribosomal RNA
Source: RNAcentral